Molecule: long non-coding RNA, 238 nt
Filed under: Phoenix dactylifera (date palm)
Lineage: Eukaryota; Viridiplantae; Streptophyta; Magnoliopsida; Arecales; Arecaceae
Description: long non-coding RNA (PDAC_LNC018307)
Source: RNAcentral
GGACCUUUCUUUUCAGUCAUUUGACUUGCAGUCAAAUUCCCUGGACUUGAAUCAAUGACUUAAGGCCUAUUCUGGAAGAUCUUAUAGGCAGUAGCCCGGGCAUUCCGUACAUCGCUGCCGUCCUUCGUGACUACGAUGAUCUUCCCUUCCUACACUGACUCUACUUCUCGUUCGGUCUUUCCCUUUCACCAUCCUCUCCGUCCAAGAAGCGCCUCUUUCGCUCCAAGGCUUUCUCGCG